Molecule: ribosomal RNA, 755 nt
Filed under: uncultured bacterium
Lineage: Bacteria
Description: bacterial SSU rRNA
Rfam family: Bacterial small subunit ribosomal RNA
Source: RNAcentral
CUCUUCGGGGAUGAUUAAACCGGCGCACGGGUGAGUAACACGUGAGUGACCUGCCUUUUAGACUGGAACAACUUACCGAAAGGUGAGCUAAUGCCGGAUGAGUUAUAUAAGUGCAUGUUUAUAUAGGAAAAGUUGGGGAGACCUGACGCUGAAAGAUGGACUCGCGUCCCAUUAGCUAGUUGGUAGGGUAAUGGCCUACCAAGGCGACGAUGGGUAGCCGGCCUGAGAGGGUGGCCGGCCACACUGGGACUGAGACACGGCCCAGACUCCUACGGGAGGCAGCAGUGGGGAAUUUUGCGCAAUGCUCGUAAGAGUGACGCAGCGACGCCGCGUGAAUGACGAAGGCCUUCGGGUCGUAAAGUUCUUUCGACAGGGAAGAAAAUGCCUAUAAGUAACUGUGUAUGUAUUGACGGUACCUGUAUAAGCAGCCCCGGCUAACUCCGUGCCAGCAGCCGCGGUAAUACGGAGGGGGCGAGCGUUGUUCGGAGUGACUGGGCGUAAAGAGCACGUAGGCGGUGUUGUAAGUCAUUAGUCAAAGACUAGAGCUCAACUUUAGUAAGGCUAGUGAUACUAUAAUACUAGAGUAUCAGAGAGGAUUGCAGAAUUCCUGGUGUAGCGGUGAAAUGCGUAGAUAUCAGGAGGAAUACCGUUAGCGAAGGCGGCAAUCUGGCUGGAAACUGACGCUGAGGUGCGAAAGCGUGGGUAGCAAACAGGAUUAGAUACCCUGGUAGUCCACGCUGUNAACGAUGGAUGCU